GGGCCCGUAGCUCAGCGGUUAGAGCGGCCGGCUCAUAACCGGUAGGUCGCUGGUUCGAAUCCAGCCGGGCCCACCA
This 76-nucleotide transfer RNA is filed under the name candidate division WS5 bacterium. RNAcentral describes it as "tRNA-Met". It matches the Rfam family "tRNA". Rfam says of the family: Transfer RNA (tRNA) molecules are approximately 80 nucleotides in length. The record is from RNAcentral.